Molecule: ribosomal RNA, 508 nt
Filed under: uncultured bacterium
Lineage: Bacteria
Description: partial 16S ribosomal RNA
Rfam family: Bacterial small subunit ribosomal RNA
Source: RNAcentral
GACGAACGCUGGCGGCGUGCCUAAUACAUGCAAGUCGAACGCUUCUUUCCUCCCGAGUGCUUGCACUCAAUUGGAAAGAGGAGUGGCGGACGGGUGAGUAACACGUGGGUAACCUACCCAUCAGAGGGGGAUAACACUUGGAAACAGGUGCUAAUACCGCAUAACAGUUUAUGCCGCAUGGCAUAAGAGUGAAAGGCGCUUUCGGGUGUCGUUGAUGGAUGGACCCGCGGUGCAUUAGCUAGUUGGUGAGGUAACGGCGCACCAAGGCCACGAUGCAUAGCCGACCUGAGAGGGUGAUCGGCCACACUGGGACUGAGACACGGCCCAGACUCCUACGGGAGGCAGCAGUAGGGAAUCUUCGGCAAUGGACGAAAGUCUGACCGAGCAACGCCGCGUGAGUGAAGAAGGUUUUCGGAUCGUAAAACUCUGUUGUUAGAGAAGAACAAGGACGUUAGUAACUGAACGUCCCCUGACGGUAUCUAACCAGAAAGCCACGGCUAACUACGUG